RNAcentral lists this ribosomal RNA (434 nucleotides) under uncultured Clostridium sp. RNAcentral describes it as "partial 16S ribosomal RNA". It matches the Rfam family "Bacterial small subunit ribosomal RNA", at positions 341 to 792 of the family's 1533-position model. RNAcentral also lists the same sequence under 1 other name. The record is from RNAcentral. Lineage: Bacteria; Bacillati; Bacillota; Clostridia; Eubacteriales; Clostridiaceae.
ACGGAAGGCAGCAGUGGGGAAUAUUGCACAAUGGGGGAAACCCUGAUGCAGCGACGCCGCGUGAGUGAAGAAGUAUUUCGGUAUGUAAAGCUCUAUCAGCAGGAAAGAAAAUGACGGUACCUGACUAAGAAGCCCCGGCUAACUACGUGCCAGCAGCCGCGGUAAUACGUAGGGGGCAAGCGUUAUCCGGAUUUACUGGGUGUAAAGGGAGCGUAGACGGCUUUGCAAGUCUGAAGUGAAAGCCCGGGGCUCAACCCCGGAACUGCUUUGGAAACUGUAGAGCUAGAGUGCAGGAGAGGUAAGUGGAAUUCCUAGUGUAGCGGUGAAACGCGUAGAUAUUAGGAGGAACACCAGUGGCGAAGGCGGCUUACUGGACUGUAACUGACGUUGAGGCUCGAAGGCGUGGGGAGCAAACAGGAUUAGAUACCCUGGUA